Molecule: long non-coding RNA, 890 nt
Organism: Lycium barbarum (goji berry)
Lineage: Eukaryota; Viridiplantae; Streptophyta; Magnoliopsida; Solanales; Solanaceae
Exons: 3
Source: RefSeq, a predicted model, not a curated record
CAAAACCCUAUACCUACACACACUAUAAAUAGCUAAAGAUAGAGACUAAGACCCUGGACACUAUACUCAGCCGUCACUUCCAUUUCCACACUACACCUAGAAACACACACACAGAUACAUAAUCAUCAGCCAUAGCAUGCACCUAUAUUUUUGGACUUAAUAGAUCUCCAUCUCUUAAAUAAACCAAAAAAAACGAGUCCUCUUUAUUCUUCAUUCAUGGGAUAGAGGUGCCGCGUAAUGAGAGUAUUUCGACUCAAGCUAUUAGUCGAGGUUUUCGUCUUUGCUUCGGGGUUCCUGUCAAGAACCGGUAUAUGUCCCCCUUUCCAAAUAGAAUUGUAAAUCAUCUGAAGGUUCUUAUCAAUACAUUGAGAAAGCUUUACUCAAGCCCCAGAUUGUUUGGCAGGUUAAGUAUAUAGCUAGGAUGCUUGGACGUCAGCUGGGAUUUGCAAGUUCCACCUCAUUUUGGAGCUGUGCUGAGUCAUGUAUAGAUACGUAUGAUUAUGGGUUUUAAUAGAGCGAAUGUCUAAGGGUUCGCUCGACUCUGAUGAGAGUCGGGUGCCCGUCAUGCCCUAUCAAGAUGAGGGUGUGACACCAACAAAAGCUUAGUACAUUAGAUGACGAUUAAAUCUAGGAAUUUCAGCAUGGCUUCCCUCAAGGAGCUUUUUCUAGCAGCAAGAAUCCAUUGUUGAUUUUACGCCUCCUUUUUCUGAUCUACUUUCUCUCUCUAUCCAUUAAACUAGAAGAAAAUUUUGUAUUAAUAUUGUAUGAAAGUUGUAUAUCAUGUUGUUGUAGUUGUAUUAAAAUCCGAAUUUCGAAGCGAAUUUAAAAUUGUAUUAAAUUUGUAUGAAAGUUGUGUACAAUGUUGCAGUAGUUAUAUUAAAUUUUUAAAA